GAUGAACGCUAGCUACCGGCCUAACACAUGCAAGUCGAGGGGCAGCGGGAAUUAAGCUUGCUUAGUUUGCCGGCGACCGGCGCACGGGUGCGUAACGCGUAUCGAACCUGCCUCAUACUGGGGGAUAGCCUUGCGAAAGCAAGAUUAAUACCCCAUGGUUCCGGUCCUUCGCAUGGAGGUCCGUAUAAAGAUUUAUCGGUAUGAGAUGGCGAUGCGUCCCAUUAGCUAGUUGGCGGGGUAACGGCCCACCAAGGCGACGAUGGGUAGGGGUUCUGAGAGGAAGGUCCCCCACAUUGGAACUGAGACACGGUCCAAACUCCUACGGGAGGCAGCAGUGAGGAAUAUUGGUCAAUGGACGUAAGUCUGAACCAGCCAAGUAGCGUGCAGGAUGAAGGCCCUCCGGGUCGUAAACUGCUUUUGGGUGAGGGUAAAAGGCGGGACGUGUCCUGCGUAUUGCAAGUAUCACCCGAAUAAGGACCGGCUAAUUCCGUGCCAGCAGCCGCGGUAAUACGGAAGGUCCGGGCGUUAUCCGGAUUUAUUGGGUUUAAAGGGAGCGCAGGCGGUUCUUCAAGUCAGCUGUGAAAACGCGGGGCUCAACCUCGCGCCUGCAGUUGAUACUGUUGAACUUGAGUGCACACAGGGAUGUUGGAAUUUAUGGUGUAGCGGUGAAAUGCUUAGAUAUCAUGAAGAACUCCGAUCGCGAAGGCAUAUGUCCGGUGUGUUACUGACGCUGAGGCUCGAAAGCGCGNGUAUCGAACAGG
This 761-nucleotide ribosomal RNA is filed under the name uncultured bacterium. RNAcentral describes it as "bacterial SSU rRNA". It matches the Rfam family "Bacterial small subunit ribosomal RNA", at positions 28 to 776 of the family's 1533-position model. The record is from RNAcentral.